GAUCAAGCGCGAAAAGGGCGUUCGGUGGAUGCCUUGGCGACAAGAGGCGAUGAAGGACGUGGCACUCUGCGAUAAGCCGUGGGGAGGGGAGAGCACCCUUUGAUCCGCGGAUUUCCGAAUGGGGAAACCCACCUGAUAUCCGGCUGUUACCUGCCUUUGGCAGAUGACAGUCGGGUAAGACAGGUACUCUUGGCCUGAACACAUAGGGCUUAGAGAGCGAACCCGGGGAACUGAAACAUCUCAGUACCUGGAGGAAAGGACAUCAAUUGAGACUCCGCUAGUAGUGGCGAGCGAACGCGGACCAGGCCGAGCUGUGAAACAAGACGAACCGGUUGGAAAGCCGGGCCAGAGCGGGUGACAGCCCCGUAGUUGUAGCAUGAUCAGCCGUUAGAGUAGGGCGGGACACGUGAAAUCCUGUUCGAAAAUGGGGGGACCACCCUCCAAGCCUAAGUACUCCUUGUCGACCGAUAGCGAACUAGUACCGUGAGGGAAAGGUGAAAAGCACCCCGACGAGGGGAGUGAAACAGACCCUGAAACCGGACGCCUACAAACAGUGGGAGCGCAAGUGACCACGUACCUUUUGUAUAAUGGGUCAGCGACUUGGUCUAUCGAGCGAGCUUAAGCCGAGAGGUGUAGGCGCAGCGAAAGCGAGUCUGAAUAGGGCGCUUGAGUUCGAUGGAUCAGACCCGAAACCGAGUGAUCUAGCCAUGGCCAGGCUGAAGGUGCGGUAACACGCACUGGAGGGCCGAACCCACACCUGUUGAAAAAGGUCGGGAUGAGCUGUGGCUAGGGGUGAAAGGCCAAUCAAACUCGGAGAUAGCUGGUUCUCCGCGAAAUCUAUUUAGGUAGAGCGUCGCACGUAUCCCCCGGGGGGUAGAGCACUGGAUGGGUAAUGGGGCCCCACAGGCUUACUGAUCCUAACCAAACUCCGAAUACCCGGGAGGACUAUGCGGCAGACACACGUCGGGUGCUAAGGUCCGGCGUGGAGAGGGAAACAGCCCUGACCAACAGCUAAGGCCCCUAAUUCGUGGCUAAGUGGGAAAGCAUGUGAGACGGCCAAAACAACCAGGAUGUUGGCUUAGAAGCAGCCAUCAUUUAAAGAAAGCGUAACAGCUCACUGGUCUAAUCAAGCUGUCUUGCGGCGAAGAUGUAACGGGGCUCAAGCCACGAGCCGAAGCUUUGGGUGCACUCUUCGGAGUGCGCGGUAGCGGAGCGUUCCCUGGGCGGUGAAGGUAUCCUGUGAGGGGUGCUGGAGCGCAGGGAAGUGAGAAUGCUGACGUGAGUAGCGACAAAGGGGGUGAGAGACCCCCUCGCCGAAAGUCCAAGGGUUCCUGCCCAAGGCUCAUCCGGGCAGGGUAAGCCGGCCCCUAAGGCGAGGCCGAAAGGCGUAGUCGAUGGGAACCAGGUUAAUAUUCCUGGGCCAGGAGGAUGUGACGGAUCGCAAGGGUAGUUCGACCUUAUCGGAUUGGUCGGGCUGCUGAGCGGUUCCUGGAAAUAGCCCUCCAUAUGACCGUACCCGAAACCGACACAGGUGGACUGGUAGAGCAUACCAAGGCGCUUGAGAGAACUGCGUUGAAGGAACUCGGCAAAAUGCCUCCGUAAGUUCGCGAGAAGGAGGCCCCGUCAUUGCGCAAGCAGUGGCGGGGGGCACAGACCAGGGGGUGGCGACUGUUUACUAAAAACACAGGGCUCUGCGAAGCCGCAAGGCGACGUAUAGGGUCUGACGCCUGCCCGGUGCCGGAAGGUUAAAAGGAGGUGUGCAAGCACCGAAUUGAAGCCCCGGUAAACGGCGGCCGUAACUAUAACGGUCCUAAGGUAGCGAAAUUCCUUGUCGGGUAAGUUCCGACCUGCACGAAUGGCGUAACGACUUCCCCGCUGUCUCCAACGCAGACUCAGCGAAAUCGAAUUCCCCGUGAAGAUGCGGGGUUCCCGCGGUCAGACGGAAAGACCCCGUGCACCUUUACUACAGCUUCAGACUGGCAUCAGGCACGUCAUGUGCAGGAUAGGCGGUAGGCUUUGAAGCGGGAGCGCCAGCUUCCGUGGAGCCGCCCUUGAGAUACCGCCCUUGAUUUGCUUGAUGUCUAACCGCGGUCCGUCAUCCGGAUCCGGGACCCUCUGUGGCGGGUAGUUUGACUGGGGCGGUCGCCUCCCAAAGCAUAACGGAGGCGCGCGAUGGUGGGCUCAGAGCGGUCGGAAAUCGCUCGUCGAGUGCAAUGGCAUAAGCCCGCCUGACUGCGAGACUGACAAGUCGAGCAGAGACGAAAGUCGGCCAUAGUGAUCCGGUGGUCCCGAGUGGAAGGGCCAUCGCUCAACGGAUAAAAGGUACGCCGGGGAUAACAGGCUGAUGAUGCCCAAGAGUCCAUAUCGACGGCAUCGUUUGGCACCUCGAUGUCGGCUCAUCACAUCCUGGGGCUGGAGCAGGUCCCAAGGGUUCGGCUGUUCGCCGAUUAAAGUGGUACGUGAGCUGGGUUUAGAACGUCGUGAGACAGUUCGGUCCCUAUCUGCCGUGGGUGCUGGAGACUUGAGAGGAGCUGCCCCUAGUACGAGAGGACCGGGGUGGACGGACCACUGGUGGACCUGUUGUGGCGCCAGCCGCAGUGCAGGGUAGCUAUGUCCGGACGGGAUAACCGCUGAAGGCAUCUAAGCGGGAAGCCUCCCUCAAAACAAGGUCUCCCCGAGAGCCGUGCAAGACCAGCACGUCGAUAGGCCGGAGAUGCAAGUGCAGCAAUGCAUUCAGUUGACCGGUACUAAUCGCUCGAUCGGCUUGAUCCG
This 2772-nucleotide ribosomal RNA is filed under the name Thermohalobaculum xanthum. RNAcentral's name for it is "Bacterial large subunit ribosomal RNA". It matches the Rfam family "Bacterial large subunit ribosomal RNA". Lineage: Bacteria; Pseudomonadati; Pseudomonadota; Alphaproteobacteria; Rhodobacterales; Paracoccaceae. The record is from Rfam by way of RNAcentral.